AUGGCCAAAUAUUGGUGGGGAAGCUCUAUAGACAAACGCACACUCCAUUGGCUCUCCUGGGAUAAACUGGCGACACCCAAAGUGAAGGGCGGCAUGGGUUUCAGGGAUAUGCAGGUGUUCAACCUUGCGAUGCGCGGGAAACAUGGUUGGCGCCUUCUUACAGAACCGGAGUCUCUAUGCGGACGAGUGUUGAAGGGCAAAUAUUAUCCACAUACUGACUUCCUUAAUGCUAGUGCUCCUGCUCGAGCCUCGGCUACUUGGAAGUCAAUCAUUGCUGGGAGAAAGACUUUGGAUGCCGGGCUUAUCAAAAGAGUUGGAGACAGCUCUACCAUCUCCACUUGGAUAGACUCCUGGAUCCCCGGCAAUCUCUUUCUGAAACCGAUGGGCCGCAUUGGUUCUGCUCCAUUGGCCACGGUCUCAGAGUUGAUCGAUGAGUACACAGGAAAUUGGAAUGUGGACAUCAUUCAAGCAAACUUCCUGCAACCGGACGUUGAGGCUAUCUUAAACAUACACGUAAACAGCGCUGGUGCUGAGGAUUCUUUGGCUUGGGCCUUGGAGAAAUCUGGCAACUACUCUAUAAAAUCCGUGUAUCGCUCUCUGGUGACUCGGAACGAGCACCGCUCUUUAGAGGAAGGGAUGAUUACAGAAGCUUCAUCAGCUAACAAACAGAUGUGGAAUGCCCUAUGGAAAUUACAUGUGGUUCCCAAGGUCCAUGUAUUCUGGUGGAGAGUACUUCGGGGAAUUCUACCGAACUCGGUAACUUUGCAGUGUCGACACAUUAAACCCUUGGGGCGGUGUGAUAUCUGCAAGGCCAUGGAUGAAAACUUGCUUCAUGCAUUAGUCCAUUGCUCUCAUGCAAGGCAGUUCUAG
Molecule: ribosomal RNA, 870 nt
Filed under: Triticum aestivum (bread wheat)
Lineage: Eukaryota; Viridiplantae; Streptophyta; Magnoliopsida; Poales; Poaceae
Description: partial small subunit ribosomal RNA
Source: RNAcentral